CGCCUGCUUUCCCGGAUGGUUUUUGCCACUUGUCAAAUUUUUCCUAUUCACUUUUCAUGUAGCGCAAGAUAGUAUCAAGUUUAGAAAUUGUCACUCUAUAAUAAACAAAAUGAUCUAGUCAUUCCGCUUUGUCAGGAAAAUAGGAAUUGUUUGUGACUUGGUGCCAAAAAUCGAGUGGUAAGCAGCACACGGACCGUGAAAAAGUGAGGAUGGUUUUCUGUGAAUUUUCAUGUGUCUGCCCAAUUAACAAACAGCAUAGUUUGCGAACGCGCGCUGUUUAAAGAUUGCCGGGAUAAGCACUUGUUGUUAUGUGCCUACGAUGACUUCCCGUCGCACCUGAGUCGCACGGCUCCCAACCGCCCCAGGGCGCCAUCCCGGCGAGAAUCAUCAAUUCCCAAAGGAAGUGAGAAAAAAACCAUUACGUUAAAAAAGGAUUGCAAGCUAUGAGCUGCAUUAUCGAUGGGAUUUGGAUGAAAGGCGUCAUUUGUAUCACGGAGUCAUUAUUUUGGACACGUCUUCCAGACAAAUGGCGUCUUUGAUAACACAAUCGGGAGAGACAUUCAGUGCACCGUGUCCUCUUCCGAAUUAUCAAAAAAACCAACAUUCCACAAUUUGUAACAUCUGGAGUGCGGGAUGGAUAUCGAUCGUACUUCAAUAGUGACGCCGGCAAGAUAAAAUGGCUCUUGGUUUUAAGCGCGUUAAUUAACGUUGGCCCUGGAAGGAAAUGCUAACAAUUUUUGUUGCAAAUAUUAUAAUCUCGAUUUUGCGAGCUGGCUGACCGAUUCUACGUCAUCGCGGCACCGCCGCUAGUAUCUUGAUAUGUGUGAAAGCAUGAAUGAUUACGACAGACUUCGCGAAGUAUGCGCAGACAUUCAACAGAGCAGACUUUCGACAUGUAUCCCGCAUACACGUUUGUAAAUAUAUAUUUGGAAGUUUUUGUCUGUCGCAAGUUUCUGUUUUUUGUAUGCGCAUACGCGAAGUAUGAAUAUACCUUAGCAAAGAAAAAAUAGCACCGGAAAUCUGGCAGUGACCGUGAUUUUCUUCGAUUGACCUUAUGGCCACCUUGUCAUAGGGCCAUCGCGGCAGCAGUGGUGACCAUCCAUUUCGCGAUAUCGAGGAGAAGUACGGAAUAGCGGAAAAUGGCGAUACCGAUUUGAUUCCUCGUAUAGAUCGCGUUAUUGACUAUCUGAAAAAUGAACUACGGAAAGAACUGAAGCUUAAGGAAGGCGCGGAGAUCCGCAGAGUGACCACUGGCACUGACCGCAGCAGCUCCACACAAGCUCGCAGCACGGUCAAGAAAGUCCACAUCAUUCUGUGUUGCUGGAAUUACAAAAAGACCUGAAUGAUCUUAAUAACUUUCGGUUGUUUGUGGUCGGUGGGAUUCAAAGCUUGAUGCGUCACCCCGUGUUAUGCCUCGACGAGAACAAACGCUGUCUCAGGGAGAUUCACUCGACAAUCAGCACGAGUCCGAUACCCACUUGGAGCAUAUUGCAGUUAGCGACAGCAUGCGAUGAUUGCUGAGCUUUUUCACAAGAUGGCAAUCGUUUUUCCGUUGUACAACGAAGAAGUUGCCACUGGACCAGACCAAAACAGUCGUUGUCGCGGCAGCUUCCGGCCAUCCAAUCGAAUCCCUACCACAAGGGACUAGCCCUGUAGUUAGGAUGGCGCCUCCUGGAACACAGGUGUUGUUAUUCCAGUGUGGGAUCAAUGUCCGCAAUGAAUUCGGCUAGGACAAUGAAUGGAUUGGGUGUUCAGUUUAACUUCAGGCGGUAAAUUUGCUACCGACUCAACACUAGUACUAGUACCGUCCCGUGAGAAAAAUCAGCUUUAUUUGUUUAUAUUUUUUUAACUGGAUUUGAAGUUAUUCAACGGCUCAUUUGUAUUUAAAAUUUGCUUUUCUGGUUCUCAUAGUUUAUAUGCAAUCCUGCCAUUCUGGCAUCCUUGUCAGCAGUUUGCAUCGUAACUUUUUUUCUUGCUCAUAAAAUAAUUCACAUGAUCGUACAGCAAUCAUAUCUGUACUUGUAUAGGCAUAAUAACUGUACUGUACAGAGUAGUGCUAUUGAUUUUGGCAGUUAAGAUAAAGCCGCUCUCUACGCAUGCAGAGUAAUUAUGCCCAACAGCUAUUGCAAACGUUUUGA
Molecule: long non-coding RNA, 2138 nt
Organism: Paramacrobiotus metropolitanus
Lineage: Eukaryota; Metazoa; Tardigrada; Eutardigrada; Parachela; Macrobiotidae
Exons: 8
Source: RefSeq, a predicted model, not a curated record